This 253-nucleotide ribosomal RNA is filed under the name uncultured bacterium. RNAcentral describes it as "partial 16S ribosomal RNA". It matches the Rfam family "Bacterial small subunit ribosomal RNA", at positions 524 to 776 of the family's 1533-position model. The record is from RNAcentral.
CACGUAGGGGGCGAGCGUUGUCCGGAUUUACUGGGCGUAAAGGGCGCGCAGGCGGCCGUGUUUGUCAGGCGUGAAAGCCCCGGGCUUAACCUGGGAAUGGCAUUUGGGACUGCAAGGCUUGAGUGCGGCAGAGGAGACUGGAAUUCCUGGUGUAGCAGUGAAAUGCGUAGAUAUCAGGAGGAAUACCGAUGGCGAAGGCAGGUCUCUGGGCUGACACUGACGCUCAUGCACGAAAGCGUGGGGAGCAAACAGG